CCUACGGGGCGCAGCAGUGGGGAAUAUUGGGCAAUGGAGGCAACUCUGACCCAGCAACGCCGCGUGAAUGAUGAAGGUCUUCGGAUUGUAAAGGUCUGUGAGGGGGGAGGAACACAAUGACGGUACCCCAAUAGCAAGCCACGGCUAACGACGUGCCAGCAGCCGCGGUAAUACGUAGGUGGCAAGCGUUAUCCGGAAUGACGGGGCGUAAAGGGUGCGUAGGUGGUUUCGGAAGUUGGCGGUGUAAUUCCGGGGCUCAACCUCGGCGCUCCCGCCCAAACUAUUAGACUAGAGUGCAGGCGUGGUAAGUGGCAUUCCUAGUGUCGCGGUGUAAUGCGUCGCUAUUAGGAGGAACAUCAGGGGCGACGGCGACUUACUGGACUGUACCUGACACUGCGGCACGAAAGCGUGGGGAGCAAACAGGAUUCGCUACCCUGGUAGUC
Molecule: ribosomal RNA, 443 nt
Filed under: uncultured bacterium
Lineage: Bacteria
Description: partial 16S ribosomal RNA
Rfam family: Bacterial small subunit ribosomal RNA
Source: RNAcentral